This is a small nucleolar RNA of Sorex fumeus (smoky shrew), 128 nucleotides long. RefSeq annotates it as small nucleolar RNA SNORA22. The transcript has a single exon. The record is from RefSeq and is a predicted model, not a curated record. Lineage: Eukaryota; Metazoa; Chordata; Mammalia; Eulipotyphla; Soricidae.
UUGCACAGUGAACACCCAAGUGUGCUCUAUAGUUCCAUUGGUUUUAAGUCUGCUGGAAAAGUGUCUGUUCUUUACCUCUGCAUUGAAAGGAUUAUCUUUUUAAGUGUAUUCAAAAAGUCAGCACAUUA